This 68-nucleotide transfer RNA is filed under the name Phyllostomus discolor (pale spear-nosed bat). Its description in RNAcentral is "tRNA-Lys". Lineage: Eukaryota; Metazoa; Chordata; Mammalia; Chiroptera; Phyllostomidae. The record is from RNAcentral.
CAUUGAGAAGCUAAUUUAGCAUUAACCUUUUAAGUUAAAGACAGGAGGAAUCAAUCUUCCCUCAAUGA